RNAcentral lists this ribosomal RNA (251 nucleotides) under uncultured bacterium. RNAcentral describes it as "partial 16S ribosomal RNA". It matches the Rfam family "Bacterial small subunit ribosomal RNA", at positions 524 to 776 of the family's 1533-position model. The record is from RNAcentral.
UACGUAGGGGGCAAGCGUUGUCCGGAUUUAUUGGGCGUAAAGAGCGUGUAGGCGGCCAAGCAGGUCAGCUGUGAAACUCGAGCUCAACCUCGAGACGCCGAUGGAAACCCUCGAACUAGAGUCCGGAAGAGGAGAAUGGAAUUCCUGGUGUAGCGGUGAAAUGCGCAGAUAUCAGGAAGAACACCCGUGGCUAAGGCGGUUCUCUAGUACGGUACUGACGCUGAGACGCGAAAGCGUGGGGAGCGAACAGG